UAGGUUAAUGAGGCGAACCGGGGGAACUGAAACAUCUAAGUACCCCGAGGAAAAGAAAUCAACCGAGAUUCCCCCAGUAGCGGCGAGCGAACGGGGAGCAGCCCAGAGCCUGAAUCAGUAUGUGUGUUAGUGGAAGCGUCUGGAAAGGCGCGCGAUACAGGGUGACAGCCCCGUACACAAAAAUGCACAUGCUGUGAGCUCGAUGAGUAGGGCGGGACACGUGGUAUCCUGUCUGAAUAUGGGGGGACCAUCCUCCAAGGCUAAAUACUCCUGACUGACCGAUAGUGAACCAGUACCGUGAGGGAAAGGCGAAAAGAACCCCGGCGAGGGGAGUGAAAAAGAACCUGAAACCGUGUACGUACAAGCAGUGGGAGCACGCUUAGGCGUGUGACUGCGUACCUUUUGUAUAAUGGGUCAGCGACUUAUAUUCUGUAGCAAGGUUAACCGAAUAGGGGAGCCGAAGGGAAACCGAGUCUUAACUGGGCGUUAAGUUGCAGGGUAUAGACCCGAAACCCGGUGAUCUAGCCAUGGGCAGGUUGAAGGUUGGGUAACACUAACUGGAGGACCGAACCGACUAAUGUUGAAAAAUUAGCGGAUGACUUGUGGCUGGGGGUGAAAGGCCAAUCAAACCGGGAGAUAGCUGGUUCUCCCCGAAAGCUAUUUAGGUAGCGCCUCGUGAAUUCAUCUCCGGGGGUAGAGCACUGUUUCGGCAAGGGGGUCAUCCCGACUUACCAACCCGAUGCAAACUGCGAAUACCGGAGAAUGUUAUCACGGGAGACACACGGCGGGUGCUAACGUCCGUCGUGAAGAGGGAAACAACCCAGACCGCCAGCUAAGGUCCCAAAGUCAUGGUUAAGUGGGAAACGAUGUGGGAAGGCCCAGACAGCCAGGAUGUUGGCUUAGAAGCAGCCAUCAUUUAAAGAAAGCGUAAUAGCUCACUGGUCGAGUCGGCCUGCGCGGAAGAUGUAACGGGGCUAAACCAUGCACCGAAGCUGCGGCAGCGACGCUGAUGCGUUGUUGGGUAGGGGAGCGUUCUGU
This 1038-nucleotide ribosomal RNA is filed under the name Escherichia coli. RNAcentral describes it as "partial 23S ribosomal RNA". It matches the Rfam family "Bacterial large subunit ribosomal RNA", at positions 167 to 1244 of the family's 2925-position model. The record is from RNAcentral. Lineage: Bacteria; Pseudomonadati; Pseudomonadota; Gammaproteobacteria; Enterobacterales; Enterobacteriaceae.